CCUACGGGAUGCUGCAGUGAGGCAUAUUGGUCAAUGGCCGGAAGGCUGAACCAGCCAUGCCGCGUGAAGGUCAAUGCCCUAUGGGCGGUAAACUUCUUUUGUGCGGGAGCAAUAAUGGUCACGUGUGGCCAGACGCGAGUACCGUACGAAUAAGCAUCGGCUAACUCCGUGCCAGCAGCCGCGUGAAUACGGGGGAUGCAAGAGUUAUCCGGAUUUAUUGGGGUUAAAGGGUGCGUAGGCUGUGAGGUAAGUCCGCGGUGAAAUGCACCCGCGCAACGGGGUUAAGUGCCAUGGAUACUGUCUUGACUGAAUGCGGAUGGCGUGGGAGGAAGGUGUGGGGUAGCGGGGAAAUGCA
RNAcentral lists this ribosomal RNA (355 nucleotides) under uncultured bacterium. Its description in RNAcentral is "partial 16S ribosomal RNA". It matches the Rfam family "Bacterial small subunit ribosomal RNA", at positions 338 to 690 of the family's 1533-position model. The record is from RNAcentral.